AUUGAACGCUGGCGGCAGGCCUAACACAUGCAAGUCGAGCGAGCGGCGGACGGGUGAGUAAUGUCUGGGAAACUGCCUGAUGGAGGGGGAUAACUACUGGAAACGGUAGCUAAUACCGCAUACCAUCAGAUGUGCCCAGAUGGGAUUAGCUAGUAGGUGGGGUAACGGCUCACCUAGGCGACGAUCCCUAGCUGGUCUGAGAGGGUGACCAGCCAAACGGGAACUGAGACACGGUCCAGACCCCUACGGGAGGCAGCAGGGGGGAAGAUUGCACAAUGGGCGCAAGCCUGAUGCAGCCAUGCCGGGUGGAUGAAGAAGGCCUUCGGGUUGUAAAGUACUUUCAGCGGGGAGGCGUUACCCGCAGAAGAAGCACCGGCUAACUCCGUGCCAGCAGCCGCGUAAUUC
Molecule: ribosomal RNA, 405 nt
Filed under: uncultured bacterium
Lineage: Bacteria
Description: partial 16S ribosomal RNA
Rfam family: Bacterial small subunit ribosomal RNA
Source: RNAcentral